This 28-nucleotide non-coding RNA is filed under the name Homo sapiens (human). Lineage: Eukaryota; Metazoa; Chordata; Mammalia; Primates; Hominidae. The record is from RNAcentral.
UGCAGUGGCAGCCGUGGCUGGAACCUUC